CCCACUCUGUUUGAAAAGCAGGUGGGGGCUAAUAAAAAAGGUUUCUCAAAAUUUUAACAUGGACUGUUAUUACACAUUUCAAGCCCCCGCUCACAAGGUUUUUUAUGAUGACCAUAAAAAGGGGCUGAAAGCUCAAACUAGGCAAACAGGGAUUCUGGUGUUUUUCCAGAGUAUGAAGAGCUGGUGGGUUUUGGACCAGUGA
RNAcentral lists this long non-coding RNA (202 nucleotides) under Anas zonorhyncha (Eastern spot-billed duck). RNAcentral's name for it is "lncRNA (ENSAZOG00000009824.1)". Lineage: Eukaryota; Metazoa; Chordata; Aves; Anseriformes; Anatidae. The record is from RNAcentral.